RNAcentral lists this ribosomal RNA (467 nucleotides) under uncultured bacterium. RNAcentral's name for it is "partial 16S ribosomal RNA". It matches the Rfam family "Bacterial small subunit ribosomal RNA", at positions 28 to 507 of the family's 1533-position model. The record is from RNAcentral.
GACGAACGCUGGCGGCGUGCUUAACACAUGCAAGUCGAACGGAAAGGCCCUGCUUUUGUGGGGUGCUCGAGUGGCGAACGGGUGAGUAACACGUGAGUAACCUGCCCUUGACUUUGGGAUAACUUCAGGAAACUGGGGCUAAUACCGGAUAGGAGCUCCUGCUGCAUGGUGGGGGUUGGAAAGUUUCGGCGGUUGGGGAUGGACUCGCGGCUUAUCAGCUUGUUGGUGGGGUAGUGCUUACCAAGGCUUUGACGGGUAGCCGGCCUGAGAGGGUGACCGGCCACAUUGGGACUGAGAUACGGCCCAGACUCCUACGGGAGGCAGCAGUGGGGAAUAUUGCACAAUGGGCGGAAGCCUGAUGCAGCAACGCCACGUGCGGGAUGACGGCCUUCGGGUUGUAAACCGCUUUCGCCUGUGACGAAGCGUGAGUGACGGUAAUGGGUAAAGAAGCACCGGCUAACUACGUG